This 490-nucleotide ribosomal RNA is filed under the name uncultured bacterium. RNAcentral describes it as "bacterial SSU rRNA". It matches the Rfam family "Bacterial small subunit ribosomal RNA", at positions 15 to 507 of the family's 1533-position model. The record is from RNAcentral.
GAUCCUGGCUCAGAUUGAACGCUGGCGGCAUGCUUUACACAUGCAAGUCGAACGGUAACAGGUUAAGCUGACGAGUGGCGAACGGGUGAGUAAUGCAUCGGAACGUGCCCAGUCGUGGGGGAUGACGCAGCGAAAGCUGUGCUAAUACCGCAUACGAUCUAUGGAUGAAAGCGGGGGACCGUAAGGCCUCGCGCGAUUGGAGCGGCCGAUGUCAGAUUAGCUAGUUGGUGGGGUAAAGGCCCACCAAGGCGACGAUCUGUAGCUGGUCUGAGAGGACGACCAGCCACACUGGAACUGAGACACGGUCCAGACUCCUACGGGAGGCAGCAGUGGGGAAUUUUGGACAAUGGGCGCAAGCCUGAUCCAGCAAUGCCGCGUGCAGGAAGAAGGCCCUCGGGUUGUAAACUGCUUUUGUACGGAACGAAAAGGUCUCUCUUAAUACGGGGGGCUCAUGACGGUACCGUAAGAAUAAGCACCGGCUAACUACGUG